Molecule: transfer RNA, 77 nt
Filed under: Armatimonadota bacterium
Lineage: Bacteria; Bacillati; Armatimonadota
Description: Armatimonadetes bacterium (groundwater metagenome) tRNA-Arg
Rfam family: tRNA
About the family: Transfer RNA (tRNA) molecules are approximately 80 nucleotides in length. Their secondary structure includes four short double-helical elements and three loops (D, anti-codon, and T loops).
Source: RNAcentral
GCGCCCGUAGCUCAGCUGGAUAGAGCACCAGGCUUCGAACCUGGGGGCCGGGGGUUCGAGUCCCUCCGGGCGCGCCA